RNAcentral lists this ribosomal RNA (337 nucleotides) under uncultured bacterium. RNAcentral's name for it is "bacterial SSU rRNA". It matches the Rfam family "Bacterial small subunit ribosomal RNA", at positions 18 to 344 of the family's 1533-position model. The record is from RNAcentral.
CAUGGCUCAGGAUGAACGCUAGCUACAGGCUUAACACAUGCAAGUCGAGGGGAAACGGCAUUGAGUGCUUGCACUCUUUGGACGUCGACCGGCGCACGGGUGAGUAACGCGUAUCCAACCUUCCCAUUACUGUGGGAUAACCUGCCGAAAGGCAGACUAAUACCGCAUAGUCUUCGAUGACGGCAUCAGAUUUGAAGUAAAGAUUUAUCGGUAAUGGAUGGGGAUGCGUCUGAUUAGCUUGUUGGCGGGGUAACGGCCCACCAAGGCUACGAUCAGUAGGGGUUCUGAGAGGAAGGUCCCCCACAUUGGAACUGAGACACGGUCCAAACUCCUACGG